CUCAGAUUGAACGCUGGCGGCAGGCCUAACACAUGCAAGUCGAACGGUAACAGGAAUCAGCUUGCUGAUUUGCUGACGAGUGGCGGACGGGUGAGUAAUGUCUGGGAAACUGCCUGAUGGAGGGGGAUAACUACUGGAAACGGUAGCUAAUACCGCAUAACGUCGCAAGACCAAAGAGGGGGACCUUCGGGCCUCUUGCCAUCGGAUGUGCCCAGAUGGGAUUAGCUAGUAGGUGGGGUAACGGCUCACCUAGGCGACGAUCCCUAGCUGGUCUGAGAGGAUGACCAGCCACACUGGAACUGAGACACGGUCCAGACUCCUACGGGAGGCAGCAGUGGGGAAUAUUGCACAAUGGGCGCAAGCCUGAUGCAGCCAUGCCGCGUGUAUGAAGAAGGCCUCGGGUUGUAAAGUACUUUCAGCGGGGAGGAAGGGAGUAAAGUUAAUACCUUUGCUCAUUGACGUUACCCGCAGAAGAAGCACCGGCUAACUCCGUGCCAGCAGCCGCGGUAAUACGGAGGGUGCAAGCGUUAAUCGGAAUUACUGGGCGUAAAGCGCACGCAGGCGGUUUGUUAAGUCAGAUGUGAAAUCCCCGGGCUCAACCUGGGAACUGCAUCUGAUACUGGCAAGCUUGAGUCUCGUAGAGGGGGGUAGAAUUCCAGGUGUAGCGGUGAAAUGCGUAGAGAUCUGGAGGAAUACCGGUGGCGAAGGCGGCCCCCUGGACGAAGACUGACGCUCAGGUGCGAAAGC
RNAcentral lists this ribosomal RNA (747 nucleotides) under Bacteroides caccae. RNAcentral's name for it is "bacterial SSU rRNA". It matches the Rfam family "Bacterial small subunit ribosomal RNA", at positions 23 to 760 of the family's 1533-position model. Lineage: Bacteria; Pseudomonadati; Bacteroidota; Bacteroidia; Bacteroidales; Bacteroidaceae. The record is from RNAcentral.